Molecule: non-coding RNA, 1011 nt
Organism: Paramormyrops kingsleyae
Lineage: Eukaryota; Metazoa; Chordata; Actinopteri; Osteoglossiformes; Mormyridae
Source: RefSeq, a predicted model, not a curated record
GAUUUUCGGCUCCCUGUAUGUGAGAUUCUAUUCAUUAAAGGAAGAAAAAAGAUAACGUGCGCUCAGCAUAUAAGACGUGACAGCUGCACACGGCUGGCUCAUUCUACUUUUCAACAUUGUAAUUUCAGAUAAUUUCCCCCGCGUUCACUCUUCUUGCAAUUUGUAAAUGAAUAACAGAAUAAUUUUGUCUUUUGUUUCGUCUUUGCUACCUCAAAUCCAAAUAAAGAUGCCUUUUAGUAUUAAAAGUGGUAGAAAAUUACAGGUAAUUAUCUUUGACGGUAAAAACGCUGUAAUCAGUGGGCCACAUCAAAAAUUACUCUAAUUACGCCUGCAUUUAUGAGAAUGGGGGAGAAAAAAAGCUUCUCGUGGAUAAAAACCAUAAAUUGUCCCAAAUAUCUCGUCUAUAUUGAACGGGACUGCAGCUGGAUGCUUUGUUCAGAAUCGAUCCUGUGGCGCUUGGCAUCAAGGGUUUUAUAGUGAAUGCAGGAGAAAGAGGGAGAGAAAAUUUGUCAAUACUCCAAUAAUUGAACUAGAAAAUGGCAAGAUUGACUGGACGAAAGGCAACCGAUUUCAACGGGGAAAAUAUUAACAGACAGAUUAUGGGCAGCGCCUUCCGAUUGGUCAUUCAACCCAACGUCAUCAGUACUGUGCUUCUCGGAGACUUCACGGUAAAAACUGGAUAACGACACACACAAGAUCAAUGACUUGGCCUGUAUUUUCUACAUGCAGUUACUCCUCUGUCUCCAUACUGCCCUACUUCUUUUCAGCAGAGGUUCCCGGUCAUCAUGCCAACAGCACAUCAGUUUCCCACGAAUGAUCAGGUAAUGUCUGAGGAUGCCAUAAUGCCACUGUAUCCUGCAUCAGCAAAUCAAAUCCUAAAUUAAACUCCUUUACUGCUGUUUUUUUGGUGCCUUAAAUUUCUGUCUGCACAUAUCUUUGAACAUAAGAACAUAAGAACAUAAGAACAUAAGAAAUUUACAAACGAGAGGAGGCCAUUCGGCCCAUCAAGCU